Molecule: transfer RNA, 72 nt
Filed under: Camelus bactrianus (Bactrian camel)
Lineage: Eukaryota; Metazoa; Chordata; Mammalia; Artiodactyla; Camelidae
Also listed under: 1 other name
Rfam family: tRNA
About the family: Transfer RNA (tRNA) molecules are approximately 80 nucleotides in length. Their secondary structure includes four short double-helical elements and three loops (D, anti-codon, and T loops). Further hydrogen bonds mediate the characteristic L-shaped molecular structure. tRNAs have two regions of fundamental functional importance: the anti-codon, which is responsible for specific mRNA codon recognition, and the 3' end, to which the tRNAs corresponding amino acid is attached (by aminoacyl-tRNA synthetases). tRNAs cope with the degeneracy of the genetic code in two manners: having more than one tRNA (with a specific anti-codon) for a particular amino acid; and 'wobble' base-pairing, i.e. permitting non-standard base-pairing at the 3rd anti-codon position.
Source: Rfam by way of RNAcentral
GAGAGUAUAGUUCAGCAGUAGAGCGUGUGCUUAGCAUGCAUGAAGUCCUGGAUUCAAUCCCCAGUAUCUCCA